RNAcentral lists this long non-coding RNA (5173 nucleotides) under Sus scrofa (pig). Its description in RNAcentral is "lncRNA (ENSSSCG00000053425.1)". The record is from RNAcentral. Lineage: Eukaryota; Metazoa; Chordata; Mammalia; Artiodactyla; Suidae.
GAACUAUGCACACUUAUGACACUAAAUGGCUUGUAACAAUUCUUAACAAUUAAUCUUUUUAUGUUUACCCUUGGGUUAUUACUUUCAUUCUUUACGUGUGUAAUGUUAGCUUUAUAAAAUGAAGAAUGCUUUACAAAUAUACAUUAGUUUGAAAAGUCAGAAUUGCAAGUCAAAAAUCCCACAGUUUCCCUUUUUUGUGUUUUAAAUAGCAACUGCAGAUAUUCAAAACAUAUGUUCUUUCAGUAGUUUUCUUUCAUCUACAAUAUUAUUGGCUUAAGUUGUAGACUCUAAUUGUUUCUACAGCAAUCAUCUUAUUUUUUUAAGCUACAUAAUUAGUUUUCCAUUUAUAUUAGAGUUUUAACCAAAAGGUAUUCUAUUGUUAGAUUUCAAAGUUACAUAUGAAAACUUUAUCCAACUUUUAAUAUACUUAUAAGUGAAUAUGUAAAGCUGAUUCAUACUACAAUGCUAUACUCUAUCUUUUAAGAUGUGCUAAGAAUGUGAAAGCUGAUUAUUAAUUAAUUAUAAUUAUAAUUAUAAUAAUUAAUUUCAUUCAUAUGUCUUAUUUUAGAAGUAUUCAAUAAUGUUAAGUAAAGUGUACAGUCUAAGUCUUUGUGUGAAACAUAUUUAUUUUUUCCAAAUAAUAGCACAUAUGUCAAUUCUAGCCUCUGUGAUAGAAUUUCAUAUAUAUGUAAACAUAUAGAUAUUAAACCCAGAAAAAUAUGUAUUUAUUAAGCAUAUAGAUUCUCUGCUACAUGUAGGUGAUAUGAAUAUUACAUUUGAAUCUUGUAUUUAUAUAUUCUAAUUCUAUUUUACUUUAAUGAAUACCUAAAGUGGUAUAAGAAAAGUAAAAUACAUUAUUUUACUUUAAUGGACAUUAUUAGCUUUUCAUAUAAGCAGCAGUAGUCUUAAUGUUGAUAACAGCUAUGCUAUUGCAUAAUUUAGACAAGCUUUUAAAAAUGACUUAUAGGUCAGUAUUCAUGUUUCAACCUGAAAUUCCUAUUCUUACUACUGAAGGUCAUAUAAUUUGCUGUGAGAUAGUAAUAAUUAUCCAAAAACUCAUUACAGUGUUUCUGAAGCAUGCAUGUUUUCUUUCUGUUUAUUUUUCCAAAGAAAAGCUCUCCUCAAAAAAAUUGUGGAGUCUCACUUAAGUGCAGAUAGAUUUUUUUUUUACCGUCUUAAGUGCUACAAAAAUGAUUCACAGAUUCAUGUUUAAUAGACCUGACACAAUAGUAUAGAGUAUAGAGAGAAUGGCCUUCAGUUUCUCUCAGACAAGGGAUUCAAUGAAUUUCCCUAGGCAAUUGCCAAAACUUUUCUUUAGAUAGCUAUAUAAACAAGGAUAAUCACAUUCCCCAUGAAACUUUGUUCUGGGAAGGCAAGGUAAUGAAAAUACCUUGCAGUGUCAGCAAUGAGGCAGAUACUGGUUUUGUGUUUGUUUGUUUGUUGUUUUUAAUUCUAAAGCAUAUUUUGCAUUCAGGAUCCAGCUUCUUUUAAGAAUUAUCCAAAAAUUUUUAUGAUUGUCAAAUAUGUACACUGAUUAGGCUUUUUCAUCGGAAUUAUAAACAAGACAUAAAAACAGACAGAUAUUUGGUCAUUAGCUAAGCAAACCACUAAAUCAAUCAUUAUUUGUUUUAAAAUUUUCUUCUUUUCUUUCAUGAAAUGUAUAAGGUGAAGCUUUUAUUUUAUAUUAAAUAAAAUGUGUCCAUCUCCUUAAGGGCAUAGAUUCUACACACACAAAAUGGACCGUUGACGAAGUAAUCACAUUUUAUUACUUGAAUCACAGGAUAAGUUGUAUUUCACAUACUUCCCUGGUCCACAGUGUUAAACUCAGUGUUUUCAGAAGUGGUGACAAGUUUCAUGAGUUUAGCAAGUCUGUCUUUGGAAGAGACCUAUCCUAUUUGUGGCUCUCAAUCCUAAGUAUCAUAGAUGGUGCAAUCGGAUUAGCCCCUGUUAGUUGGUGAGAACGAGCUUAAGGCAUGGCAUGAAAAUUGCCUGAAAUGUCUUUAAAAGUAGCUGUCCACCUAAUACUCUAUUACUUCCUCUGGGUUUCCCAUGAGACCCUGUAAUAGAUUCCAUUUCCACUAAUGCACUCAAAUAGAUUUUAAUGGCGUUAGGGAUCGGAGUCAGACCGAAAGGUGACCUCUAUCCAUUGCUAAAAGGAGAUCGAUACUGUGCUGGAUACUUCCCAGCUGUACCUCUCUUGUAAUGCCGGAGGUUCAGAGAGCUGGUCCUUUAGCCCCCUAUCCUGAAGCCCCACUGGGCUCAGAUCCAAAAAGAUCAGCUAGUUAUACAAAAGAGAAUAUGUCAGGUCAUUGUGUUUAACAAAGGACAACUCUUUGAGAUUUCUGCAGUGGUGCCAUGCUAGUAGCAUUUAUGAGUUUAUUGAGAGGUUGAAGAAAAUAAGUGCUCCAGAAAUAUUCAAAUAGCAGAGUUCAAGUUCAGUCAUCUUCCUGACUGAAUGUCGUCAAUUUUUUUUUCUGUUCUGUGAAAAUGAGCCAAUACAUCAUAUUCAAAUUAAGAAGGUUUUUUCCAUUGUGGAUUGCUAGGAGAGAUGAAGAUCAUUACUCCUACUUUCUUUGGGCUUGUUUACCCUGUAGUCCAGGUUUCUUUGAGAAAGGAGGGUAAGAAUUUAUCAGUCUUAGAUAUGCUUUGAAAAAUUCCACCCCCUUCAGAAUAUAAUCCUGAAGACUCAGCAAUCCCAACAGGUCCUAAUGGAAGCAGGGUAUAGUGACUCCAGACAGUAAAUCUUUACUGCAUUUAAGAGAGAUGGUGUAAAUAUAACUCAGUCUGGAAGUGCACAGCACUGGGAGCAGCAACUAUAUUUAGCUACUUUGCUUUAGAUGAAUUUAAAGUCCGUACACAUAGUAAGUACAUUAUAUGAUCUUCUUUUCUUCAGAGUAAUAUAUAUUUCAAAAUGGUUCAAAAGUCUAUGUGAAUCCCUAGUCAGAGACAUGUUUGUUUCCAUUGGACAAGGCUUGAUUCCUUUAAUAUUCUUGCCUCUCACUAGGCAGUAGAAUAAGACUAGAAUACUUCCAUGAAACCACCCAGACGUUUUCUUGCAUAACAAUGAAAUCAGAUUUACUUAUUUCUUCAGUCAACAUGUUGAAUAGAACACGAGGCAAGGAGACACAAGGAUAAAGAAAAUGCCAUUUCAGUGCUCAAGCACUCAUGCACGUGUGAAAGACGACCUAGAUUUCAAGAGACACCCUGAUAAGAUUUGUGGUACAAGAGUUCUGGUGUUGACUUGCAUUUGUGAGUUUUCAAAGUCUUUCUCAGGCUCCCCAUUUAACCUCAUGUUAAUCCUGAGAGUUUGUUAUGUCAUGAUUUUAUAGAUGAACCUCUAAACCCAGAAAUUAGCUCUACAUUUAAAUUCAGUUCAAAUAAAAAUAGUCUUCCUGUUAAGUAGGCAGAGCAGGUUUUAUAGAUGGUGACUCAUGGAGUUAUGGAAAUUAAGACAUUUGAUCAAGGUUACUAGGUGUGCUGUUGCCACAGGAUGACAUUAGAACCUGGGUUUUCUGUUUGACUCUAGGUAUUUUUUCUACCAUUCUAUAAUUCUCCUUGUUAACUUCUGACUGAAAUUUGAAAUCAUGCAAUAUUGGCCAUGAUAAGCUUACAAAAAACUUUAGAUAUCAACAUGAAAAUCAAGAAAGUUAUGUUAAUUUUCUUUAAGUGAGAAAUAAUAGCUCCUAGCUUUCUAUUUAAUCUCAUUUCUCCUAUUUUCUUUAAGACAAUACAUGGCAUCUGGUGAGAGAGACUUUGUUUUGAGAAGAAAUAAUCCCACAGGUCUUCUUUCUAUGACAUUCGUGAAAGUUCUUCAGAUUUUCUAAAAAUAUUAUGUUCCAUUUAUAUACUAAUCACUAAAACACAACAAAGGAUCCAUUUUCCCCUUUAAAUAUAUAUGCCAGUACCUGACUUUGAGAACCCACAGUACAAAAAUCCACAACCAUAAACGUGGUGUUUCAUGUUUUAAAAAGUGUUUCAUUUCAUAAAAGAAGGCUCGCUGCAGGAAUUCCUUCUUUAAAACGUUUAAUGAUCUGUAAGUAACUACUUAAAUUCAGUAAGAAUGGCUUAUUAUUUUGCAGGUAAAAUAUAGAAGGGAAACUUAAAGUGGAGGUGUUAGUACCUAUAAACAAUUGGUAAAAUCGGUCAAAUUGGAGUUGAAUGUAUAUAUGUGAGACAUAUAUAGGGCGUCCUUCUCAAUGCUUUAUACUACUUUAAUGAGAUAAAAUUUUAUUUACAAAAGUGAAAGGCAACAGUUCAAGGUCUUGAAGGGAAAUAGUAAUUUAUCCUUUCAAAAUCACAAAUGCAUAUUGGGAAUGCUUUAAGUAAUUUAAAGCUCCCUAGCUUUUACUUAAAUUCAUAAAUCAAAUUACUUUCAUCUGGGAGUACAACAUAAAUGGAAAUUUAACUUUUGAAUAAAAUAGGAAAAGGAGCCAAAUUUUUAUGUACCUUACCCAUUUAAAAACCUGCUCAUCCAAGCGUUCUGUACUAUGUUGGAAAUGGUUCAAUAAUUCUUAAAAAUCUUUAAGGAAGUUGGUUUUUAAAGUAGAUUUUUCUUUUAAGGACAAAUAUACUUACAUACAUUUGAAGAGAAUGAAAGGCCCAGUUUCAGAAGUAUGAAGAAAUAAAUGGCUGAUCCUAAUAAGAAUACUUGUAGUACAAUGAAAAACCACAGAGAAAAGGAAAGGGUUGGGGGAAAAUAAUAUCAGGAUGUCAUCAUGUCCUUUUAAAACAUUUAAUUAUUUGUUUACUCAUGAAGGUAACAUGCACAGAAUACAAGAAUUAAUAUUUUAAAAUGUAUGUGGUUUAAAACCUCCCUCCUAUUCGUCUUAAACUACAUAGAUGUCUCUCACAGGUAAUGAGGGGCAUUUAUUUCUUGUUCAUCUAUCAGAGCUUCUUUGAGCAUAAACAAACUAUUUUUUAAAAAUUUUCUAACUCUCAGAGUUCCCGUCAUGGCUCAGCAGUUAACGAACCUGACUGGCACCCAUGAGGACACAGGUUCGAUACCUGGCCUUGCUCAGUGGGUUAAGGAUCCAGCAUUGCCUUGAGCUGUGGUGUAGGUCACAGACAGCUCAGAUCUGGUGUUGCUGUGGCUGUGGCAUAGGCCAGCAGCUACAUCUCCGAUUCGACCCCUAGUCUGGGAACCUCCGUGUGCCUUAUGUGUGGCCCUAAACAG